This is a long non-coding RNA of Columba livia (rock pigeon), 8265 nucleotides long. RefSeq lists it as uncharacterized. The record is from RefSeq and is a predicted model, not a curated record. The transcript is spliced from 4 exons. NCBI's taxonomy places the organism in Eukaryota, Metazoa, Chordata, Aves, Columbiformes, Columbidae.
GCGGGGGCGGCCGCUCGGUCACCUGCGGCCGGGGCGGCCGCGCUGCUCCGGCCCCGCCGCGGAGGGAGGGGGCGCCCGGCGCGGGGGAGGAGGCGCCGCGGGGCCCGCGGCCGCGAGGGGAAGCGGCUGGGGAAAGCCGGAGAAACAAAGAACAUGGCGAGGGGAGGAGGAGCCUGCGCCCUCUCCCCCGCCGGGAAGGGCGCUCCGGGGGCGGACAAUGCCCGGCCCGGCCCGCCCCGGCGGCGCCCGGGGGCGGCUCGCCUGCCCCCGCCCCCUUUCCCCGCCCCUGUGGCAGGGCCCGGCGGGAGGCUGGGCCCGGCUCCUGUCCCGCGGGACGGGCUGGAGGCGGCGGCCGGGAGCGGGCCCGCUGCCUGCCGCAAGUUUCGCCCGGAGUCGGAAAGUUGGGUACGGCGCCGCGGCCCGGCGGGACCCGGCCAGAUUCCUGAAAAUCUGAGGAGCAGUCUUCGGCAGCUGAAGAAUGCAAUUCUCUCCAGAGGUGUGGGUAUCUUGAGUGAAGGGGACGACUGAAGUAGGAUCAGCUGGUACCCAAGAAGCACGACUUCGAGACAGUCAGGAGUGGCUUGGAGUGAACUGUCAGGAGCCUUGCAGUGCCCUGGUGGCCAUAGCGGUGGCCGAUCUCUGGAGAUGCUUGAAGCUUCUUUCUUACACCUCCCAGCUCGUGCACAAAGGACUUAACAUUGAUUUGGAUUCAUGUGGUAUAAAAUAGUGAUGGGUAUGGUUUUUUUCCUCCCUUUACUUGACAUCUGCAUGUUUCUGGCAGUAAGUGAUGAAGCCUGUACUCGGUCUGCUGACAUUUGGCCUGUUUUUGAGAGCUCUGAGUGACAGGUACUGUAAACAUCCUACACUCUCAGCUGUGGAAACUAAGAAAGCUGGGAGAAGGCUGUUUACUCUCCCUGCCUUGGAAAUCAUCUGGAGGACAAGGAUGGAGUAUUGUGAGCUCUGUGUUGAUUGUAUUUCUGACAACCUGUAUUUUAUAAUUUACGUUAUGGUGUCAGUAAGUAAAUAGUAGCAUUAUAUCAUGUCAUCAGAGUCUUGUGUUUUAAAGUCAGAAGGGCCUUGCAAUAUGCUUUAGCUGCGCUGCUGCCUUGAGGGAAACUUAAAUAGUAGCAAUAUUACAUUACAAUACUUUCAUCCUUAAGCAGUGGUUAAAACAGCCCUGUCCUGCUGUUUAUUUAUAUGUGGUGUUAUGUACAAGUUAGAGUGUAGACAACCUCAGGUUGACACAUCAGUAGUGUAUUUAGUCAAAAUAAUCCAGAAAUGUUUAGUUCUUGCUUUCUAGGAUUCACUCAAUUCUCGUUUCCCACUUGAAAGGGCUAGAAACGGAGUUGGAAGACAAUAAGAUUCUAGGAGACUUCAAAUUUGAGUUUCUUUUCAAAGAAAUUCAGAGGUGCCAACACUUAUUAACUCCACCUCCAUAUUAACUAAAUUAAAGGUACAAGGGUAUUUAGCAUAUGUUUUCCACUUAAAGUUCCCUGCCACUUAUCCCCCGCCCCGAGACUAAUAGUGGUCAUUGUACUUUGUCCUGGCAAUCCUUUUCUUCCUCCUCUUCCUUGUAUUUCUUUCAUUCUAUUUGCUGUUAGCCAAGUAGAGUUUCUCUUUUAAAUGUAGAAUAAACUUUACUGUCAUGAUUUAAAUCCUCAUAAAGUGUAGUUUUGCAGCUCUACUUAAGCAGUGACCUUGGCAGAAAGGAUAUGGUUCCUCUCUUUUUCUUUUAUUUAUGGGAUAGAACACUUUUUGUGCUUUCUAAGAAAUUUUUCAUAAUACAGUUGAAUGCAAAGAUCACCAUCUAGCUCCUUUUGCAACAGUAUUCUUCCCACUUCAGAUCCUGCUGCUUCAGCUUUUAGUAAAGGCAUUUAAAUAUAAAAUCUUUGAAAUAAGGGCUGUUCUAAGAGAUAAAAUACCAGGGUUUGGAAAGAGGUGGGAGUGGGAAGAUAACAGGAAAAUGGUAAAAGAUCGCGUAAGGAUUUGAAGUAGUGCUGCUACAAGAAAGAAUUCAAAUUGUUAGGCAGAGCUAAAAAAAAAGGUAAAUUAUUUAAAGCAAUAAUUACCUUUCAGGCUCUGGCUUGCCUUCCUUUUGGAAAAAGGAAUUGGAGGGUAAGCCAGAGUCACAGGGCCGGUUAGAGUGCCGUGGCCAAGGAGUAAGUUGAUGAGUAAAAAGCAUGUUGAGGUCUGGCUGUGCAGGAACAACCACCAGCGCUUCAGGUUUGUGGGGAUUUAACUCAUGAUUUGUGUAGUAAUUUCUGAGAAAAGCAGAGUUGGCCUCCUAGAAUUGUCAUGUUAAGAAGACAUUCCCUGUUCAGACUAGUCAAACGAUAGAGGGUAGCAUUUCCUAAUACACAUGGUUCCCUUGGCAGAGAGAGAUCUCAGAGGGUGGUGGAGCACACAGUUAAAUCCUCCACUAUGUGAUAAUACUGAUUGUAGUCUCUGCUGCCAAGGAAAUACAACCUCGUGAAAUGAGGUAACAUCCUGAAUUUGUUUGGUUUCAUUUUUGUUAUUCCUCUUUACAUUAGCUUUAGAUUUGGAAUCGUUAUUUUGUGUCAGCUGGAAAAACUUCUUGAUAUUUCACAUUGCUUAUUUGUGCAUUUAACAGAGAAAUUCCAUCUUCUGUUUCAUCAGUGGCAGUUGGGACUGCUGGAGUCUUUCUUGUACAUUCUUCCUCAGCCAUGCUUUCCUGCCCUUUUACUUGCACUUACAUUAAUGUUUGUUUAAACUGCAAACUAAUUCAGUGGUUUGACCCCACUGGAAACUAAAUAAGCAAACCAGCUUUUAUGUGGAUCAGCUGAGUAGUAGCUUACUCCACUACUGUGCUGUGGCCUAAAGUGCUACUGAAAAUGCUCAUUCCUUCAAAUAUGGCCACUCUCCUGAAGAGCUAGAACAGAGUUUAUUCUAAAUGAAGUCUUAAAACAAAAUAACUGUGAAAAUAUGGGAUUUUGGAUAUUUUUGUAUUUUAUUUGAUAUUAAAUUAUUUUGUUAGUGCUGUUUGAAUGCAAUUGCAAGCAUACUUCUAAAAUAAAUUCAGAUAAAUUGUUUGAAUUAAAGUUUUUCAUUUCCUGAACACCAUUCGUGUUUCUCUUUGAAAGUUUUGUUUGUAAAGUCUAAUAACUAAAUUGUGUGAUAAUAGAGAGCAACCAGUAAUUUUGCUACCUCCAGCCCUUUAAUUGUAAAGGUAUCCUCUGAUGUACUUGCACCAUACUGAGCACUGUAUAAAUUGCAUUAUUUCUAGAUCACAGAGUUUUUUUUCCUCCCAGGUAUCACUUGCCAAGCCAAAGGCAAAUGUUAUGUCAUUUUCUCUUGUUAAUCUCAGACUUCAAAGAGUUUAAGAUUCUUUACGGUCUAUCAGUUGCAUAUAGAGCUUUCUCAUUGUGAAAAAACAUACAGGGCUGUUUCAAAAGCCUGUUGCCAGUAAUGAGCUUUGGAUUGGGUCCAUGGAGAGGUAAUCUGGAUGGCUCCCACAGCAAGUCUUCUGUGGGAAAUCGCUGAUUGUAGGCAUGGGCUGCUUUCUUUUUUUUUCUCUCCUUGAACGUUGGUUCUGCCAAGAUGCAAAAGUGACUCGCUCCAAGUGAUUCUUGGCAGUACCCAGGACAAUAUCAUUCUUUCAUAUUAAGCUCAACAUGCUGUAUUGCUUAUGUUUUUAUUGUGGUAUUUUUAGCAAGGAGGAGCAGGAUAGUUCUUGUUAUCAUGUUGCCUUACUUCUAAACUUAAGUUUUGGUACUGUAAUUUUUUUUCUGUAAACGCUUAACACAGAGGAAAAGCAAAAUUUUUCUUCUCCCCUCCCGCCCCCAGUUACAUUUUUGAUUACAUAGUUCCUCUAGGUAAUUGCCUAACAUCCAGUUUUGGUAAUAUUGGGAGUGACUGUGAGAAGAAAGAAUGUGUGGAAGUUCUUGGCCAGAGCUGUUGCUUGUUUGGAGGUUGCAGCCUGACCUUGAGGUUUUCAGGUGGCACAUUAGAAAAACAUUAUAUUAAAAGUUUCAAAGAGCUGCUGGUGAGGGAAACAAGAGGUGAAGGGGGAAGAGAGGUGACUGACUUGUCAUCCAAAGGGGAAAGAAUAAUAUACUGUUGAUUUUAAGUGUAAACACUUCCUUGAUGAUGCAGGAAGAGAGCAGCAAUUGACCUUCAUGCUUAUACAAAAAUUGAGUUUUUAUGCAGAGAAUCUCACUGCCACUGAUUCAAAUUCGGUGCAGGAGAACUUAAAAGUCUACGACAAGCUUUUCUACUUUGAAGACCUGUAUCUACAUUGAAAAAAAGAGGGGGGAAAAAAAGAGUGUGUUUUGAAUGCAAGGGGAAGAAAAAUACAAUAUUUGUACUUAGAUCAUAGCUGCCCCUGAAAUGACAGCAUGGGUUCCAGAUUGGAAUUUUCUCUGUGCUAUGAUUGAUGAAAAGAACCAUGUAAAAGCAGCUGUUGUUCUGCAAAAUGCAAGCAGGUGUAGAACAUCUGUAAUACAAAUAUUAUGCAAUCAUAUGCCAACAAAGAUUUUAAAGCUUAAAAGUACAUUAACUUAGUUAACUUAAAAUCUGAGCAAACACGCUUUCUUCAAAAUUAGGCUCUGUUUUUUAAAAACCUCUUUUGUGAACUGAUUCUCUUAAAACUUUUAAUUAAAUGGAAUGCAAAAGCUGAAGCUGCUUUUGUUCUUGUAUGACACUUCAGUGCUUGUCGGCCCUGAGUUCCAUCCAAGACGUACUUAGCUACAGUUAGGCUUUUGUUUCCUUAGUUUUGGCCUCCAGUUCUAAGGAUGUUAGCAUGAAUUAAAUGGAAAUAUGCUUUUGUAGCAUCCACUUUACAUAAUAUAAUAAACAAACUUCAACUAAGCAUUGCAGUCUAUAACUACAAAGUACCUCAGAAGAGAAGCUGAGGGCUUGCUUAUUUUAAAUAGUGUAAUAUGAUAGCUAAAUUAUAGCUUAUUUAACUCUCCGAAAGGGAGAGUAGAGUAAGGCUGUGUUGAGUAAGGCUUACAUUUGCAACACUGACCCCACUCCGUAAGGGGAUCCAGUUUUGUUCCCGCUGCAGUUAAUAAGGGAUUUUUGUUGCUGCCUUGCUCCUGUUAUUAAGCUGUUAAAAUAAUAUUGCAGUAAGAUAAACACUAAUCCUGGCUUUGGACAGAAUCUCUGCACUUUUUCCUUUGUGAAAGAAGAUGAUACUCCCUCUGUAAACACAGAACCCCACGUCAUUUAGGAGUCUCUCUUUUGCAAUGAAGCACGUUACACAAAAUCACGCCAUCGCAAGUCAGUUUGUUUCAUUGUGCUCCAGCCUUUCCUUAUGAUUUAGAUGGAUUGCACUGCUGGGGAUGUGGAAGGGGUGUGCUUAUUACGUGCCCUAAUGCUGGGUUACCAUCAGGGCUGCUAUGAAAGCUCCGUCUUGUGCUUCUGUUGUGCUGCCAUCCUCCCACAGGUGCCAAGCGGGCACACGGCACCUCUUCAUGUGGGGGUUUUAAGCGUGUGCUCACAGGGCAGCCCAGGUUGUACCAUCACACCCAGGCAGCCGCGGCAGCACAGAACUCGGCUCCAAGCCGGCCUCACCUCGCUUUCUCAGGCCCUGGGUGUAUUCUUAGACUACAGGAGGGUCCAGCUGACCCCAUUUCAUUACACAGGUAGCAGAAAUACAAUGAGCACCUUCACCAACUCAGGACUUCUGGGCUUUGCAUCAUUUGAAGGCUGCCUUUCUCUGCUGGUUUCUGUACAGCCUGAAGCACCUGCUGGCUCAGCUCUUCUGAAAAAGUGCUGCUAAAAUAAUUCAGCUCUGAUGGCCAAGGGAUAGCUUGAUGUUGACAAAUGAAAUAAUUCCAGGAUCUAUGAAAUUCAUGUUCUGUUCCUUGGCUAGAAAUAGAUGGCUCUGUACAACUGUGAACUUUGUAAGUAGUUGAACUUUGUUCAACCUGACUGGCUUGCAAACAGUUUUAGUAAGGAUGUUGAGAUGGCACUAGAUUAUGUUUAGUUCACAAAGUACAGUUAAAAUAUGUACAGUGGUAGAUUAUUUUUUUUUUUUUUAGCAGCGACCGUACUUACUGCAUUGAUACCAAUGGAGCUGCUUAUUAAGAUCCUGCAGCUUGACUGUGUGCGUUUGAUGAAAUUCUACAAUAUUCUUUGUGCUGCCUGCAUGGAAGAGCAGAUCAAAUCUAAAUUGAAAUAGAUCAGUUACCAUAGGGUAAUUGUGUGUAGCAUACACCCUUGGAAAUUAAAAGUGACAAAAGCAGUUGUAUCCGUUGCCGUUCAGAGUAGGUGUGUGUCAUAGUGUAUAGGUCUGCAAAAACAGGAGUUAUCAAACUUGUCUGCCUUUCACUGAAAAGUCUCCUCGUUGAAAGUAUAAGCCACCUUUCCUGAUCAGCCUUGCUGGAGUUUGCAUACUGUGAAAGUUCAGCAAAUAUCCAAACCAAGAGGUGCUUGGUGAUACUAAACCUUACAAGACAAACUCUGUUGCUAAUGAAGGUCUAUUUCCUGAUACUUCCAGUGGCAAACUUUAUUCUGACAGCGUUUUCAGCUAGAUUUAAUGUGUUUUCUGUCCUGCAGAGAUGUGUGCGUGUGUAAGCCCAAAUGCUCUUCAGUGAGGCUUUGCUGCUCUUUCGCUCAGAGGUUUGGUUAGAGCUGUGUGAACUCACAGCAUUGUACGGCUUUGUUUGGAUAGGAGAGGAGCAGUUGGAGGACGAAAAAAGAUAAAUGAAAAAUAUCUGGUAAGAUAUUUUUAUGAAUUGCUGAGCUCUUUCAAGUGAGGGCAGGAAAAGGAUCAAAAAUGAAGAAUAUUAAAGACAAAUUUAAGUUGGUGUCUGAACUGUCAGUUCAGGAAACUCCAGAGACAAACUGAAUGGAAAGUUUUCCCUGAGGUCCCCAUGGAAUUUUUAAAGACAAAUCUAAAUGGAGAACAGCAAGGAUUUACAUCUUUGUCUACAGGAACGGAAUAAUUAUUGGCAGCCAGAAAAGAAACUCUCGUUUUUUGGCAGAAGAAGAAAGAGGUCUGGCUCAAAGACUUGAACUGAGUUGAUUUAAGGUCUUUCAGGGGCAAAUGUAAGUUUUUUUAUAUGUACAAUAGAACGAAUUUGUAGAAAUACCGAGGUGGGAAAUAAAAAAUGUUGGUUAGGGCUUGAAAAUAUGUAUACCUAUAUCUGGUUUCUCUGAGUAUUUUUUCAAGCUGGAAUGAUGUCUGAACAUAUGCCAAAUGCAUUGUUUAUAACAAGUAAGGUAAUUACCUAUAAAAGAAUAUAGAAGUUCCUGCUUCAGAUUGUGGUCUGUCACUGAAUUUUAAAAGCAAGACUUAUUUUGAGUAUUUUAACAAAAAUGCAAUUUCUGUUUCACAUUUUACCUAAAAAUGAGAGGAAAGGUGGUUGAUGCUGUCAUCGUCUCCCACUUUGAGCAAUCUGAAAAAUAUAUUUGGAUUGUAGGUGUGUGAAAGUUCACAGUGAUUUCUUGAUUGCGGUGAGUGGUUUGGUUUGGGCCUUCACGGGCUUUUAAAUUUUGCUGGUGUAGUACCUUCCUUUUGAGGUCCCUUCCAGUCCCUAUCAUUCUGUGAUUCUGUGAUCCUCUAGUUCUGCGGUGAGGUUAGAGAGAGUCACAGACUGGGUGCUCUGCGGCUUGUACAAUGAAAUGCAGGCAGGACAGGAGGCUGGAUUUCUGUGUCCUUGGAGCCUUCCCCUCCAGCUCUCCUGCUCAGGUUUUGCUAUUGCUACUGCUUGGCCUGAGAGGACAAAAAGUUAGCUGUAAAGAGCCUGGUCUGUGGUGUCAUGUUCCUGUGGAAGGAGAAGGCCUUUGCUCUGGUCACUCGUAGCCAGAGCCCCUGCACCAUCAAAGGAAGGUGCUAGGGACACCAGGGAAUACGGCCCGAUUCUGAGAGGGAGAGUUAAUUCAUCACAAAAUUAUCUUACCCAAACCACCUGCAUCAAAUCAAGCUACUUUGAGAACUUGUCUUCUAUCAACAAGUGAUUUUUGAAAGGCCUCCAUUAACCAUUUUCCUCCUCCAGAGCAGCAUUUUGGAGGUAGCUCUGCAGCAUCCAUAAGGUUCAUCGAGCACUGUGGUACAAAAUGGGAGCUGCCUUUCCCUGUCGUGGCUGAUGUGAGGUGACCAGAGCCAGGGCUGCAACAGCAGACUAGAAAGUAAAUUUGAUAAUGUGGAUUUAUUUUGGGGGAUUUUUUUUUUUUUCCCCUUGCUGGAGGCUGCGUGGAUGACAGAGGCAGGGUGCUGCCUCUGAAAUGUUAAAAAAUAAUAAGAAAACAGUCUUCAGUGCUGCUGCCGGCCUGGUAUGACACAAAUUUGCUUUUCUC